Molecule: ribosomal RNA, 119 nt
Organism: Lepisosteus oculatus (spotted gar)
Lineage: Eukaryota; Metazoa; Chordata; Actinopteri; Semionotiformes; Lepisosteidae
Source: Ensembl
GCCAGCAGCCAUAUCACUCUGCAACUCUCAACUGGCAGCCCACUGAAGCUAAGCAGGUGUGAGCCUGGUCAGUACCUGGAUGGGAGACCUCCUGGGAAAAACUAAGGUUGCUGCUGGAA